UACGGGGGGGGCAAGCGUUGUUCGGAAUUACUGGGCUUAAAGAGUUCGUAGGCGGCGCAGAAAGUAGGGUGUGAAAGCCCUCGGCUCAACCGAGGAAUUGCGCUCUAAACUACUGUGCUUGAGGAAUCUAGAGGUGAGCGGAACUGAUGGUGGAGCGGUGAAAUGCGUUGAUAUCAUCAGGAACACCGGAGGCGAAGGCGGCUCACUGGGGAUUUUCUGACGCUGAGGAACGAAAGCCAGGGGAGCGAACGGG
RNAcentral lists this ribosomal RNA (253 nucleotides) under uncultured bacterium. RNAcentral's name for it is "partial 16S ribosomal RNA". It matches the Rfam family "Bacterial small subunit ribosomal RNA", at positions 524 to 776 of the family's 1533-position model. The record is from RNAcentral.